UCCGUAGGUGGAUAAUUAAGUCAGGGGUGAAAGUCUGCAGCUCAACUGUAGAAUUGCCCUUGAUACUGGUUGUCUUGAGUCAUUAUGAAGUAGUUAGAAUAUGUAGUGUAGCGGUGAAAUGCAUAGAUAUUACAUAGAAUACCAAUUGCGAAGGCAGAUUACUAAUAAUGUACUGACACUGAUGGACGAAAGCGUGGGGAGCGAACAGGAUUAGAUACCCUGGUAGUCC
This 229-nucleotide ribosomal RNA is filed under the name uncultured bacterium. Its description in RNAcentral is "partial 16S ribosomal RNA". It matches the Rfam family "Bacterial small subunit ribosomal RNA", at positions 568 to 796 of the family's 1533-position model. The record is from RNAcentral.